RNAcentral lists this ribosomal RNA (840 nucleotides) under uncultured Mogibacterium sp. RNAcentral's name for it is "bacterial SSU rRNA". It matches the Rfam family "Bacterial small subunit ribosomal RNA", at positions 52 to 895 of the family's 1533-position model. The record is from RNAcentral. Lineage: Bacteria; Bacillati; Bacillota; Clostridia; Peptostreptococcales; Anaerovoracaceae.
UACAUGCAAGUCGAGCGAGAUGUUAGCGCAUGAACCUUCGGGGGAUUAUGCUAACGGACAGCGGCGGACGGGUGAGUAACGCGUAGGCAACCUGCCCCUGACAGAGGGAUAGCCAUUGGAAACGAUGAUUAAAACCUCAUGACACCGUAGAAGCACAUGCUUCAUCGGUCAAAGAUUUAUCGGUCAGGGAUGGGCCUGCGUCUGAUUAACUAGUUGGUGAGGUAACGGCUCACCAAGGUGACGAUCAGUAGCCGACCUGAGAGGGUGAUCGGCCACAUUGGAACUGAGACACGGUCCAAACUUCUACGGAAGGCAGCAGUAGGGAAUCUUGCACAAUGGGCGAAAGCCUGAUGCGGCAACGCCGCGUGAAGGAUGAAGGCCUUCGGGUUGUAAACUUCUGUUCUAAGGGAAGAAACAAAUGACGGUACCUUAGGAGCAAGCCCCGGCUAACUACGUGCCAGCAGCCGCGGUAAUACGUAGGGGGCAAGCGUUAUCCGGAAUUAUUGGGCGUAAAGAGUGCGUAGGUGGUUACCUAAGCGCAAGGUUUAAUUUAGAGGCUCAACCCGUACUUGCCUUGCGAACUGGGCUACUUGAGUGCAGGAGGGGAAAGCGGAAUUCUAGUGUAGCGGUGAAAUGCGUAGAUAUUAGGAGGAACACCAGCGGCGAAGGCGGCUUUCUGGACUGUAACUGACACUGAGGCACGAAAGCGUGGGUAGCAAACAGGAUUAGAUACCCUGGUAGUCCACGCCGUAAACGAUGAGCACUAGGUGUUGGGCCCGUUAGGGCUCAGUGCCGCAGUUACGCAAUAAGUGCUCCGCUGGGGAGUACGCUCGCAAGAGU